UUUCCGUAGGUGAACCUGCGGAAGGAUCAUUACCGAGUGCGGGCCCUCUGGGUCCAACCUCCCAUCCGUGUCUAUCUGUACCCUGUUGCUUCGGCGUGGCUACGGCCCGCCGAAGACUAACAUUUGAACACUGUCUGAAGUUUGCAGUCUGAGUUUUUAGUUAAACAAUAAUUAAAACUUUCAACAACGGAUCUCUUGGUUCCGGCAUCGAUGAAGAACGCAGC
RNAcentral lists this unclassified non-coding RNA (224 nucleotides) under uncultured fungus. RNAcentral's name for it is "sequence contains ITS1, 5.8S rRNA gene". The stretch from base 176 to 224 matches the Rfam family "5.8S ribosomal RNA", at positions 1 to 49 of the family's 154-position model. Lineage: Eukaryota; Fungi. The record is from RNAcentral.